AGUGAACGCUGGCGGUAGGCCUAACACAUGCAAGUCGAACGGCAGCACAGGAGAGCUUGCUCUCUGGGUGGCGAGUGGCGGACGGGUGAGGAAUACAUCGGAAUCUACUCUGUCGUGGGGGGUAACGUAGGGAAACUUACGCUAAUACCGCAUACGACCUACGGGUGAAAGCAGGGGAUCUUCGGACCUUGCGCGAUCGAAUGAGCCGAUGUCGGAUUAGCUAGUUGGCGGGGUAAAGGCCCACCAAGGCGACGAUCCGUAGCUGGUCUGAGAGGAUGAUCAGCCACACUGGAACUGAGACACGGUCCAGACUCCUACGGGAGGCAGCAGUGGGGAAUAUUAGACAAUGGGCGCAAGCCUGAUCCAGCCAUACCGCGUGGGUGAAGAAGGCCUUCGGGUUGUAAAGCCCUUUUGUUGGGAAAGAAAUCCAGCUGGCUAAUACCCGGUUGGGAUGACGGUACCCAAAGAAUAAGCACCGGCUAACUUCGUGCCAGCCGCCGCCGUAA
This 506-nucleotide ribosomal RNA is filed under the name uncultured bacterium. RNAcentral's name for it is "partial 16S ribosomal RNA". It matches the Rfam family "Bacterial small subunit ribosomal RNA", at positions 29 to 523 of the family's 1533-position model. The record is from RNAcentral.